GAGAGAGAGAGAGAGAGAGGGAGAGAGAUCUUCAACUGUUUCAAAAUAGGGAGAGAAGCGCAAAAUACUGGGACCAGUUGGGGAAAGAACAGAGAAAGCUAAAUGGCUUUGUUUGGGCAAAAGGAAGAGAAGAGAAGAAAAAAGGGGAUGCUGUGCGUCAUUGAGUACACCCUGCAAACAAGGGACACAGCUUACGAAGGAGCUUUUUGUUUUGUUUUUCUUUACAGUAUUUUCACGAGGAACUUUUCCUUCUCAUCAAUGCUUUUUAUUCUGGCUUUCAGUCCCGCAAAAUAAGGCUCACACUGGGCCCAAUUUAUAAGCAAAUACAGAUGCUGGCUUUUGUGCUUUUUCCCUUUAUUUUUUUACUUUUUCAUGAGUAAGGUUUGUCGGGUGUGGACGAUAGUCAAUUUACUCUUUAUAGCUGCUUGGUCUUGAGCCAGAAAAUGUACUGUCUGCACCUCAAAAAUGGCGAAACCAGAAAUGCCUGAGCUACUAUCUUUUUUUUUUGAAGAGAAAGAAUAAGAUAGUAGCUCAGGCAUUUCUGGU
This 546-nucleotide unclassified non-coding RNA is filed under the name Hevea brasiliensis (rubber tree). The record is from RNAcentral. Lineage: Eukaryota; Viridiplantae; Streptophyta; Magnoliopsida; Malpighiales; Euphorbiaceae.